GAGUUUGAUCUUGGCUCAGAUUGAACGCUGGCGGCAUGCCUUACACAUGCAAGUCGAACGGCAGCAUGAUCUAGCUUGCUAGAUUGAUGGCGAGUGGCGAACGGGUGAGUAAUACAUCGGAACGUGCCCUGUAGUGGGGGAUAACUAGUCGAAAGAUUAGCUAAUACCGCAUACGACCUGAGGGUGAAAGUGGGGGACCGCAAGGCCUCAUGCCUAUAGGAGCGGCCGAUGUCUGAUUAGCUAGUUGGUGGGUAAAGGCCCACCAAGGCGACGAUCAGUAGCUGGUCUGAGAGGACGAUCAGCCACACUGGGACCUGAGACACGGCCCAGACUCCUACGGGAGGCAGCAGUGGGGAAUUUUGGACAAUGGGCGAAAGGCCUGAUCCAGCAAUGCCGCGUGUGUGAAGAAGGCCU
This 414-nucleotide ribosomal RNA is filed under the name uncultured microorganism. RNAcentral's name for it is "bacterial SSU rRNA". It matches the Rfam family "Bacterial small subunit ribosomal RNA", at positions 9 to 417 of the family's 1533-position model. The record is from RNAcentral.